CAAAGUGAUCAGAGGGAUGAUAGUGCAAGGGGGACUUCCAUUUUCUGUAAUGAGACAGGAGCACUUCAAGUGGAUCAUAGCUACGGGUUUCUUCGGUCGUCACAUCGAAUGCCGGACUACAUUGGUACAAAAGCUUCAGGCAGAGGCUCUGCAGCUGAAGGAAGACCUCCGCGAGAAAUUUUCAAGAAUCGGCUACAUCGCAUCCACAGCGGACUGCUGGACUGUCCACAAAAGGGCCUAUUUGGGCGUUACAGCGCAUUGGGUUGACUGUGCAAGCCUUAGAAGAGAGUCUGCCGUGUUAGCCUGCAAGAGACUUAAGGGGAGCCAUACCUUCGAUGUCCUUGCCAGUGCUCUUGAGGAGGUAUACAAUGAUUACAACAUGUCGGAUAACUCAACAACGACGGACAACGCGUCCAACUUCAAAAUGUCUUUCACCUAUUUCACGAAGUUUUCCGAUUUCGAAGAGUGUGAAACGCCUGUAAGGGAGACCGAUGGCGCAGACGGCUGUGAUGAUGACGAUGUUGUCCCGGUUGAGAUCCACAACGUGUUGAACUCACGUGACGAGGGGAUCCUGAACUACUCACUGCCACGUCAUCAACGAUGUGCUUGCC
Ornithodoros turicata is the source of this 611-nucleotide long non-coding RNA. RefSeq lists it as uncharacterized. The record is from RefSeq and is a predicted model, not a curated record. Lineage: Eukaryota; Metazoa; Arthropoda; Arachnida; Ixodida; Argasidae. The transcript has 3 exons.